AUAGCGGACUUUCUUCCCAAGAACUGCUGGUUAAAAUGCAGAAACUCAUCUGUUCUGCUUCAGUCAUGGGAGGCCAUGAGACCUGGUUCUGGCCUGUUCUUCCCAAGGUACUAGUGAGGGACAAAGUUGGGAGAUUAGCAUGUGCACCACCCUGCCUCUGCGUGGGGUGUUUGUCACCCUUUCCUGUUGCAGUGGCAAUGGUGGUAACCAGCUGGAGCCAGUUAGUUCUGGUCAUUGAUUAUGCUGUCAACAAAGGCUUCAGAAGCCCACCCUAGUCUCAUAAGACACAGGGAGGAGCCUAAGGAGGAGAAGCCAUCAGAGCAUCAGAGGAUGCGAAGCUGUCUUCUGCUUGAGGUGGCUUCAAUAGAGAACCACUGGCAAUCAGCUUAGGCCGGAUGCUACACAAGAGAAUUCAACAACAUCAGCUACAGCAGGAAAAGAAACUCUUCCCAGUAGAAUCUUUCUGGACAACACACCUGAAAAGCUCUCGGACAUUCAGCAAGAUGACUUAGUGUUAGCAUGGUGCUAUGGAACUUUAAUACCAGAAACCUGAGCUGAGGCUGUGUCACAAUCCUGCUGAAGAUUCUGCAAAGAUACUGGCUCCAGGUUCCUAGGAUCAAUCUAGCUUAACUGAAGUCUUCACGGGAAUUCUUCUUUACAUCAACGUAUAGAACUCUCAGCUCCUUCUCCA
Molecule: long non-coding RNA, 691 nt
Organism: Mastomys coucha (southern multimammate mouse)
Lineage: Eukaryota; Metazoa; Chordata; Mammalia; Rodentia; Muridae
Exons: 4
Source: RefSeq, a predicted model, not a curated record